Molecule: ribosomal RNA, 253 nt
Filed under: uncultured bacterium
Lineage: Bacteria
Description: partial 16S ribosomal RNA
Rfam family: Bacterial small subunit ribosomal RNA
Source: RNAcentral
UACAGAGGUCUCAAGCGUUGUUCGGAUUCAUUGGGCGUAAAGGGUGCGUAGGCGGCGCGGUAAGUCGGGUGUGAAAUCUCGGGGCUUAACUCCGAAACUGCAUUCGAUACUGCCGUGCUUGAGGACUGGAGAGGAGACUGGAAUUUACGGUGUAGCGGUGAAAUGCGUAGAUAUCGGGAGGAACACCUGUGGCGAAAGCGGCUCACUGGACCACAACUGACGCUGAGGCGCGAAAGCUAGGGGAGCAAACAGG